GACGAACGCUGGCGGCGUGCUUAAUACAUGCAAGUCAACUGAACUUGAAGUAGCAAUAUUUCAAGGGAGGUGGCGCACGGGUGAGUAACACGUAGGUAAUCUGCCUUUAGGUCUGACAUAAUUCCGCGAAAGCGGGACUAACUUCAGAUGAUGCAGCGGCUCGACAUCGAGACAGUUGUUAAAUCUUCGGAGCCUAAAGAUGAGCCUGCGUCUGAUUAGGUAGUUGGCGGAGUAAAAGCCCACCAAGCCUGCGAUCAGUAGCUGGUCUGAGAGGAUGAUCAGCCACACUGGAACUGAGACACGGUCCAGACUCCUACGGGAGGCAGCAGUAAGGAAUAUUGCUCAAUGGCCGAAAGGCUGAAGCAGCAACGCCGCGUGGAGGAUGAAAUACUUUUGUAUGUAAACUCCUGUAAGAAGGGAAAAAUAUUUCGAUUUAUCGGAAUUGAUUGUACCUUCAGAGUAAGCA
Molecule: ribosomal RNA, 466 nt
Filed under: uncultured bacterium
Lineage: Bacteria
Description: bacterial SSU rRNA
Rfam family: Bacterial small subunit ribosomal RNA
Source: RNAcentral